This 497-nucleotide ribosomal RNA is filed under the name uncultured bacterium. RNAcentral's name for it is "partial 16S ribosomal RNA". It matches the Rfam family "Bacterial small subunit ribosomal RNA", at positions 28 to 507 of the family's 1533-position model. The record is from RNAcentral.
GAUGAACGCUGGCGGCGUGCCUAAUACAUGCAAGUCGAGCGAACGGACGAGAAGCUUGCUCCUCUGAUGUUAGCGGCGGACGGGUGAGUAACACGUGGAUAACCUACCUAUAAUACUGGGAUAACUUCGUGAAACCGGAGCUAAUACCGGAUGAUAUUUUGAACCGCAUGGUUCAAAAGUGAAAGACGGUCUUGCUGUCACUUAUAGAUGGAUCCGCGCUGCAUUAGCUAGUUGGUAAGGUAACGGCUUACCAAGGCAACGAUGCGUAGCCGACCUGAGAGGGUGAUCGGCCACACUGGAACUGAGACACGGUCCAGACUCCUACGGGAGGCAGCAGUAGGGAAUCUUGCGCAAUGGGCGAAAGCCUGACGGAGCAACGCCGCGUGAGUGAUGAAGGUCUUCGGAUCGUAAAACUCUGUUAUUAGGGAAGAACAUAUGUGUAAGUAACUGUGCACGUCUUGACGGUACCUAAUCAGAAAGCCACGGCUAACUACGUG